This is a long non-coding RNA of Acanthopagrus latus (yellowfin seabream), 641 nucleotides long. RefSeq lists it as uncharacterized. The record is from RefSeq and is a predicted model, not a curated record. The transcript has 4 exons. NCBI's taxonomy places the organism in Eukaryota, Metazoa, Chordata, Actinopteri, Spariformes, Sparidae.
UGGUGUGUUGCUGACUGGAUCAGAGUCCUGUUUCAGCAUUUGUGGGCCGUCCAAAGCUGAUGCAACAAGUUUUUAAGACCUCUUUCGACUCUCUCCCGCAGCAUUCUACAUGAGGGAGGACCUCCUGUGCUGUCGGAUUCGUAUUCAGCUCCAAAAGUGGACGCUAGUUUACCUAGCCCGCUUACAUUAACACUGACUCACACUAGGUGUUGUUUUUUUGUGGAUGUUGUUUCAACCCCUGCUGAAUCUCAAGCAUCUUCCAUGCAGAGUUACAUUCUUCCCACAUUAUAUAAGAGUGCAGAUAGGAAACAGAUGGCGAAUCUGCAGGCGUACUCUGAACACAACACGGCCCGUGGACCGGCAGUCUGUGGAGGACCGCUACACCGAGACACUUGAAGCGCAGCUUAUUGCUGAGAUACGUACAGCAGAAAUACUGUCGUCAUCAUUGGAGAAGAAAGCAGGUGUUCUGAGACCAUCACAGCUCAUGGCAUCUUUCAUUCAUCCAACCUGACCAGCUGGACCGCUCCGGAGAGGACGAGAGAUGGAAGAAGAGCCAUGACGGGUAAACUAACAGGAACUAGCCGUCUUGCUAGCAGCUGUGAGCCUGCUGUGUCCGGGGUCGUCUGAUUUGCUAAGGAGCG